CGCUGACUGAGGCCGGCCGAUAUCAGUAUAGCUUAGUUGGUGGGGUAAAGGCUCACCAAGGCGACGAUCUGUAGCGGGUCUGAGAGGAUGAUCCGCCACACUGGAACUGAGACACGGUCCAGACUCCUACGGGAGGCAGCAGUGGGGAAUUUUUGGACAAUGGGCGCAAGCCUGAUCCAGCCAUGCCGCGUGAGUGAAGAAGGCCUUCGGGUUGUAAAGCUCUUUCAGCCGGGAAGAAAACGCAUGGGUUAAUACCCUGUGUGGAUGACGGUACCGGAAUAAGAAGCACCGGCUAACUACGUG
This 303-nucleotide ribosomal RNA is filed under the name uncultured bacterium. RNAcentral's name for it is "bacterial SSU rRNA". It matches the Rfam family "Bacterial small subunit ribosomal RNA", at positions 214 to 507 of the family's 1533-position model. The record is from RNAcentral.